CCCAGCUCGUCAUGUUAGAGCAAGUUUUCAAUGGGCUCCCCAACGACAAGGCAACGACGCUUUCGUAUGUCAUCCAUAUCAACUUUCAAUGCCAUUUACUGUGCCUACCAUGGUGACCACGGGUAAUGGGGGAAUCAGGGUUUGAUUCCUGAGAGGGAGCCUGAGAAAUGGCUACCACAUGCAAGGAAGGCAGCAGGCACGCAAAUGACCCACUCCCGACACGGGAAGGUAGUGACG
Molecule: ribosomal RNA, 237 nt
Filed under: Pelobates cultripes (western spadefoot toad)
Lineage: Eukaryota; Metazoa; Chordata; Amphibia; Anura; Pelobatidae
Description: SSU_rRNA_microsporidia
Rfam family: Eukaryotic small subunit ribosomal RNA
Source: RNAcentral